GAAUACUGCUUCUCUUUCUCUAGAUUACAGCUGCAUGAUAUUGGUCAUGAGACAAACUUCCUCUUUCUUACAUUAGAGCAGCUGUUUUGAUUUCUCAGCUCGGAAUACUAGUGAAAACAACUUUCUCUGUUUUAUUUUAAACAGGAAAUAUUUUAUUCGCUUUGAAUCACAAACUGAAAUGUUCAUGUUGUUUCAAUUCUGUGUGUAUAUCUUGAUGUUUUGGAUCAGUUUCUCAGAGGCAGUGAUAUCCUGCUUAAAUGAGGAUGGCCAGCCGGUUGACUGGUUUGUUAUUUACAAACUUCCCAUUUACAAGAUGGAGGUUAAGGGAAGUGGAGUUGAUUACAUGUAUCUGGAUCCGUCCGUCAUGGAUUUUCAGAUGAGUAAACAUACAGUCAACAGCAGUAAAGGAGCUGUAGGCAGAACAUUGACACAGCUUUACUCUGGAUAUACAUCCAACAGAUCAGUCUAUAUGCUUUACAAUGACGCGCCACCAGUACUUAAGUACCCAAGCAAGUAUGGACAUACAAAAGGAGUGCUGAUGUUUGACCAGUCUCAGGGAUUUUGGCUCACACACAGUGUUCCUCAUUUUCCUCCAUUUCCAGAGAGAAAUUACAGUUACCCAUCUACAGGAAAAUACUACGGCCAGACUCUGCUCUGUAUUACAUACAACUAUACACAGUUCCCUCAAAUAUCAUGGCAGUUAGCAUAUCUUAAUCCACGUAUGUACAACUGCUCUGUACCUGUGGCAUUUCGCCCAGAUAUUGCAGUAAUGGCACAAAUUUGUGAUGGUAAGACACCAGCCUUGAAAAACAGGAAGAGUCUGCAGAAGCUGAAAUCAGUUCGAGGACAAACUUUUUUCAGUUUCGCCAAAUCACACAACUAUGUGGAUGAUAUUUACACAGGUUGGGUGGCUCAAGCAUUAGGGACAGAUCUGCUGGUGGAAUCAUGGCUGCACCAGGCACAUCGACUCCCCUCUAACUGCUCACUUCCCCGGCACGUGAUGAACAUUAACAGAGUUUGUCUCCCAGGACCUCAGAUGUUCAGAAGCUACGAGGAUCAUUCUAAGUGGUGUGUGUCCUAUGCUUUCAAAGACCAGUGGACAUGUCUGGGGGACUUGAACAGAGACAGUGGUCAGGCUGGCAGAGGUGGUGGGCUGAUAUGUUCUCAAAACUCAAUAAUUUAUAAAGCUUUCCGUCAGGCCAUGGCUGGGUAUUAUCACUGCUGAAAAAUACCUUCAGUAGACUGAACCAGCUCCGGACUUUGGAGCAUGCAUUAAAAUAUGACAGGGGUUUUUAUACUAGUUUUGACUUGAACCCAGAUGUAAUUAUGAAAGUUGAUAAUAAAAAAAAAAAAAAAAAAAAAAAUGGUACAUUUAAUUAGAUGGGGAUGGUAAUUUUUGUUGUUGUCUCCAAACUCCAAAAACAAACAACAACAAAAAAGAAAAUACAAAUGUGACUAUAAAUGUUACAAUUCCUGUCUCUUUUCCCAUGUUUUGUGAUUAAGGACUCUUAUUUUGAAGCAUAUUUUUUCAUUUCCAGUGUUUAGUUUGUUUCCAUAGCUGCCUUGUUUGUUUCUAUAGUUACCCUUGUUAAGUUUCCUUAGCAAUUCCCAAAUCCGGUGUUCCCAGCGCUCCCAAGUCUGGUGGUCCCAAGUCUCAGCACUUCCAAGUCUGGUGGUCCCAAGUCCAGUGAUCUCAGCACUUGCAAGUCCUGUGGUCCCAAGUCCAGCAUGCUUGGAGGUCCUUCCACUGUCAUCUGUGCUGCCCGUGAUGGCUACCGCCAUUUUGUGUGUUUAGGGCACACAAUGUCAGCAGUUCCUCCUGAGGCGGUGAGACCUACUGCAGCUCCUCCUGUCACGGCCAAGGAGGCCGUCUCUGAACCCUCUGCCUGCCCUGUCAUGGCCAAGGAGGCAGUCUCUGAACCCCCUGUCUGCCCUGUCACAGCCAAAGACAGAGCUGGCACAAGCUCAACUGCCACUCUAGGCAAAACACAGUCAUGCCACCCCCCACUUCACACUCAUAAUUAAACACUUUAUAUUAGGUGGCCUUAACUACUAUGUACUUACAUUUCAACUAAUCAUUUGAUACAGUGCACUUAUUGUGUACAUACAUGUUUUUACAUUGUACUUAUAUUUAAAAAAAAUACCUGCAUGUAGUUACAUCUGUAAUUAAUUUCUGUAUUUACAUUUAUAAUUACACUGUUGACCCUUCCCUUACACCUUAACUCACCCUUAAACCUACCCAUACCACCAAACCUGUCCCUAACCUUACCCGUAUCCCACCUCAAUAGCAGCAAAAGUGUUUUACAGUACAAUAUGAACAGGGUACAUUGUACUCUUACUGGCCUGUUCAGCUGAGCCAUCCAUUGAACAAAACAAGCCCUGAAAAUUGAUAAAAGAACAAAUAUUACACAGACACUUGAUAUUUAAUCUUACUAGAUGAUUAGUUAAUUGCAUUUGAUAGAUUUUACUUUCAAUACAACAUUGCAAAUACAACAUUUGCAAUGGGUUUGUAAAAGGUAUUUUUAUGCAUGAGUUUUUGCAUGGUUUUUGUUGUAUUACACAGUUCUGACCAUAGACUGUAUAAAAAAAAUAAAAAUAAAUAAAUAAAUAAAAAAAAAAGUAAGGUUCUGACCACCAGGGGUCACCAGCGUGUAGCGUUUCGAACGCUUCGGAACAGUGAAUCACUUUGCGAAGCAAUAGUUCAAUUGAUUCAAAGCUAUUAAAAGCUUCGUUUCUCCCAUCACUGGUAAUCAUAUACCGUUGAAAAAUGAAAUUAUGUAUUUUAUAUGUCUAUGCGCUGUGUAUUAUUGGUCCGAAAUGAUAAACGGUCCGUGAGGCACAAAUGAGUAGCGUAGUUUCGUUCCGCUUUCAUUUCGUUUGCCAUUUGAUGUUGGCCAACGUUGUGGUGGUCGCGCCAGCUCGACCGCUAACAAAAUUUUGGUAGCACCGGCUGGGAAAAUGACAGAAAAAAAAUUAGCCACAGUCCGGAGCCCUGCAUGGCCAGGGGUUGAGGAGGAUGAAUGCAGACAGUAUUGUCGUGUUCUAUUUCAGCCGUCAGGUGGCGAUGACGAUCUAAAAACUCAUAUUGUACUUACACAAAGAUCGAAGAAGAAGAAGAGGACGAACCGAGACGGAAAUAAUUGUCCAAAAUGAUCGGAGAUCUUCUAAUUUUGGGCACUCUGCUCAUGAACGCUGGCGCUGUACUCAACUUUAAACUGUGAGUAAAGACACAAAAGUCAUCUUACAGUUUUAGUUUGGAGGAUUGCUUGUUAAUAGUUGUGUCUUUGCGCAGAAAGAAGAGGGAAACACAGUCUCAAGGCUUUGGCGAUGAAUCUAGAUCAUCUAGCACUGGUGACAACAUCAGAGAGUUUUUGCUGAGUCUGCGGUACUUUCGCAUAUUCAUUGCCCUUUGGAACAUUUUCAUGAUGUUUUGCAUGAUUUUGUUAUUUGGAUCAUAAUACAUGGCUGUUACAGUGAGGAUAACUACAGACAAAAUAUAUAAUGAUUGGGCAGAUUUCUUUUAAUGGUUAUUUUUAGAGCGGGAUGUCUUUAAGUCUUAUACAUAGUCUUAUCCAACGUCUUACAAGACGUCUGUAUAUUUUGUACAGAAGUGUGUAUGAUUAAUAUUGCUUUUACUUUCUUUGAAUCAAAUGAGGACAGCAUAUGGGAAUUAGUUUUUGUUUUAAAUAAAAAUGUCAGUGUUAAAUGCA
Molecule: RNA transcript, 3710 nt
Organism: Ctenopharyngodon idella (grass carp)
Lineage: Eukaryota; Metazoa; Chordata; Actinopteri; Cypriniformes; Xenocyprididae
Gene: smim7
Gene name: small integral membrane protein 7
Exons: 9
Source: RefSeq, a predicted model, not a curated record